CCCUUAGAUGUCCUGGGCUGCACGCGCGCUACACUGACGAACUCAACGAGCUUAUCACCUUGGCAGAGAUGUCUGGGUAAUCUUUUGAAAGUUCGUCGUGCUGGGGAUAGAUGAUUGUAAUUAUUGCUCUUCAACGAGGAAUUCCUAGUAAGCGUGAGUCAUCAGCUCGCGUUGAUUACGUCCCUGCCCUUUGUACACACCGCCCGUCGCUACUACCGAUUGAAUGGCUUAGUGAGCCUUUGGGAUUGGCAGCCAACACCGGCAACGGUAGCUGGCCGCCGAAAACUUAUGCAAACUUGGUCAUUUAGAGGAAGUAAAAGUCGUAACA
Molecule: ribosomal RNA, 328 nt
Filed under: uncultured eukaryote
Lineage: Eukaryota
Description: partial 18S ribosomal RNA
Rfam family: Eukaryotic small subunit ribosomal RNA
Source: RNAcentral